Molecule: ribosomal RNA, 49 nt
Filed under: Sabal mauritiiformis
Lineage: Eukaryota; Viridiplantae; Streptophyta; Magnoliopsida; Arecales; Arecaceae
Description: partial 18S ribosomal RNA gene
Rfam family: Eukaryotic small subunit ribosomal RNA
Source: RNAcentral
GAGAAGUCGUAACAAGGUUUUCAUAGGUGAACCUAUAGAAGGAUCAUUG